Molecule: non-coding RNA, 155 nt
Organism: Oryza barthii
Lineage: Eukaryota; Viridiplantae; Streptophyta; Magnoliopsida; Poales; Poaceae
Source: Rfam
UUUAAGUGUAGUUAUGAGAUUUUUCUAUAUCAAAUAUUUGACCGUUCGUCUUAUUUGAUUUUUUUUAAAAAAAAUUCACACAUAAAAAUAUUAUAAAAUUUCAAAUAAGACCGACUGUCAAACGUUGGGAACGGAAACUCACAACUGCACCUAAA